Molecule: non-coding RNA, 343 nt
Filed under: Pan troglodytes (chimpanzee)
Lineage: Eukaryota; Metazoa; Chordata; Mammalia; Primates; Hominidae
Also listed under: 1 other name
Source: RNAcentral
GGCCCAGGGAGGCUCUGAGUCAACUGCGGGAACUUUGCCGUCAGUGGCUGAACCCAGAGAUACAUACCAAGGAGCAGAUCCUGGAAUUGUUGGUGCUGGAGCAGUUCCUGACCAUCCUGCCUGAGGAGCUCCAGUCUUGGGUGCGGGAGCAUAAUCCUGAGAGUGGAGAAGAGGUGGUGACUUUGCUGGAAGAUUUGGAGAGGGAGCUUGAUGAACCUAGACAGCAGUUUUUUGUAUUCCAGAAAAGGAGCAAGCAGAGGGUUUUGCAAGUGCCAUAGAAGUGUGCUUGUGAUAAAAUUUCUGCUAGUGAGUAUAAAAGAAGAAAAGCUUUAACAAUUGAAGA